This 69-nucleotide antisense RNA is filed under the name Micromonospora maris AB-18-032. RNAcentral's name for it is "Verrucosispora maris AB-18-032 ASpks TB sRNA". It matches the Rfam family "ASpks TB sRNA". The record is from Rfam by way of RNAcentral. Lineage: Bacteria; Bacillati; Actinomycetota; Actinomycetes; Micromonosporales; Micromonosporaceae.
CUUCAGCGAGCCGAGCAGCAGCGGCUCGUCGCGGCCCUGCCCGUAGGUGGCGAUGAUCGCCUGCGCCUC